RNAcentral lists this unclassified non-coding RNA (206 nucleotides) under Hevea brasiliensis (rubber tree). Lineage: Eukaryota; Viridiplantae; Streptophyta; Magnoliopsida; Malpighiales; Euphorbiaceae. The record is from RNAcentral.
CCUGAGCAGAUAUGUACGCAGACCCGGCCAGGCCACGAUGCUGUCUGGACUCGGAACCCACGGUUUUGAUCCCUAGAGUAGGGAAUCAACCUGAACGGAUGAACCGAUCGCUGAGUUCCAAUUUCAAUGAUUUCGUUNNNNNNNNUUAGUGGCACUUCAGGGUUAGAUUUCGAUUCUAGUUGUAGGUCUGAAUUUUUUUGGCGAAU